AUCAAGACACUGUCUGAAGUUUCCCCCUCAUGAUUUAAAAAAAAGAAAUUUAUCUGACAGAGGUUCUGCUGAGGAGGCCAGCUCUCACAUCAGAGGGUGAUGGCAGUUUGUGCUGGAUGAGGAUAAGACAAUGCUGUCCUAGGGCUGGCCAUCUGAUAAAGCUUCCCAGAAAGUGCAGUAAUGGACCCCUGGGAGGCUUUCUGCUCUCCUGUCUGCGGGUUCCUGAGCUGCCAAAAGUACCUUGAUGUUUUCUGAAAGCAGAGCCAAUGACCACACUCCAGGGACUGAGUUCUCAAAUAUUUACCUUUGGAGUCCAACCCUUCUGACCAUCCAGAGGCAAGCACAAUAUUCCUGAGAAAAUCUCAAAUAGAUGUACAAGAAAAAAGAAAAAGCAACUAUACAGAGCGUGUAUCUAGUGAGCAUUUUACUCAGCAAUACAGUCCAUGUUCGACAAUAUUCCUUGAUGACAGCACUGCCAGCCAGCCUCAUCUUACAAUGACACUAAAAUCUGUGACCUUGGUGAUAUAUUAACAUAUCAAGCAAAGAGAUGCAGAUAGAUCUUUGGGCAUAUUUGAUGAACGGUUACACCCAUUUACAUGAGAAGACGUUUUGGAGGAAUAUUUUAAAUAUGAUCCUUAACACAAAUUGGUUUUCAGUUUUGUUUGUAUUCUGUUUAAAGCCAUAAGGCUAACAGCUGAAUUUGCAAUUGUAAGUUUGGAAUGAGUUGGAAAGGGAAUUCUUGAAGCUAAUUAAUUACAAUAUCAGCGUUACUGGCAGUGUUUAUAGCAGAUUCUACUUCAAUCUUCGAACCAUGGCACAUGACAACAGCCUGUAUUCGCUAGUUUAUCUUCUUGACAGAGAAAGAGCAUGGAAGCUGGAGUCCCAGCAGAAGUGCAUCAUGAUGUUUGCCCUGGUGUGCUGCUUUGCCAUUCUGGUUGCACUGAUCUUUUCAGCCGUGGACAUCAUGGGAGAGGAUGAGGAUGGACUCUCAGAAAAAAAUUGCCAAAAUAAAUGUUGGUAGGAGGUUCAGGCAUUAGCAAUUAUGUUUCAGAGGCCUCAGUUUUCAUUCUGUCUUGGGAAUCAAGGGAUGUUAGAAGGUCCCUUCCAGAGGGCAAUUAUUUUUUGGCAUUUCCAUGAGAGAUGAGAAUUGCCCUGGUGGAAAAUAUUCCUGAAGGCCUUAACUAUUCAGAAAAUGCACCAUUUCACUUAUCACUUUUCCAAGGCUGGAUGAAUUUACUCAACAUGGCCAAAAAGUCUGUUGACAUAGUGUCUUCCCAUUGGGAUCUCAACCACACUCAUCCGUCAGCAUGUCAGGGUCAACGUCUUUUUGAAAAGUUGCUCCAACUGACUUCGCAAAAUAUUGAGAUCAAGCUAGUGAGUGAUGUAACAGCUGAUUCAAAGGUAUUAGAAGCCUUGAAAUUAAAGGUGGCAUUGGCCUGGCCCUCUGCAAGCGGCUGCUGGCGGAAGAUGAUGAGCUUCAUCUGUGUUUGGCGUGCAGGAAUAUGAGCAAGGCAGAAGCUGUCUGUGCUGCUCUGCUGGCCUCUCACCCCACUGCUGAGGUCACCAUUGUCCAGGUGGAUGUCAGCAACCUGCAGUCAUUCUUCCGGGCCUCCAAGGAACUUAAGCAAAGGUAUAUCUCUUGCUGAUGGAUUUUUUUUUUCUCGUGUGAUUGUGCAGCAUAACACUUAAUAAAAUAAGAGAGGAAAGAAAAACCUAAAAAGAAACAGGUGCGGUGUAAGCAGUUAUGUUGAAGAAGUCUGUAUAGGGUGACCCACUGUGUCUCAGUACCACGUUUUCUUUCUUUCUUUUUUUUUUUUUAAAGAGAUAGAGUCUUGCUCUGUUGCCCAGGCUGGAGUGCAAUGGCGUGAUCUCGGCUCACUUCAACCUCUGCCUCCUGGGUUCAAGUGAUUCUCCUGCCUCCACCUCCUGAGUAGCUGGGAUUACAGACAUGCGCCACCAUGCCUGGUUAAUUUUUGUAUUUUUAGUAGAGAUGGGGUUUUACCAUGUUGGUCAGGCUGGUUUCGAACCCGUGACCUCGUGAUCCACCCACCUCGGCCUCCCAAAGUGCUGGGAUUACAGGCGUCAGCCAUUGCGCCUGGCCAGUACCACAUUUUCAAUCUCAAUCAUGAUCAUAAUUAUUUCAUGGAGACUAAUUUAUAAGUACAUCCUGAUGUGUGAUCAGUUGGUGCUGGGAUUACAGGCAUGAGCCAUUGCACCCAGCCAGUACCACAUUUUCAGUCUCAAUCACGAUCAUAAUUAUUUCAUGGAGACUAAGUUAUGAGUACAUCCUGAUACAUAUCGAUCAGUUGGUGCUGGGAUUACAGGUGUGAGCCAUUGCACUUGGCCAGUACCACAUUUUCAAUCUCAACCAUGAUCGUAAUUAUUUCAUGGAGACUAAUUUGUAAGUACAUCCUGGUGUGUGAUCAGUUGCACUGCCUUACGUUAAGGUAACUCCUUUGACAUUUGAAUUCAUUUUUUACAUCUUUCUUCACAUAAUGAAUUCAUUAAGUAGAUAAGGCAAGUAGUGAGUGACAUUUAACAAGUGAAGAAACUGAGACACAGAAAUAAGGGUAAUAUGCCUGGGAAGGUCAUCCAGUCUUAUAUUAGUUGGGUGGGUCCAAGACCCCAGGGCUUCUCCCUGCUUCCUAAGGAGUAUUUUUUUUCCCUAGGCCAGUAAAGAUUUGUUCACACCUUCACAGUAAUUGGCAUGUAAUAGACAUUUGAUCAGUAGUUGGUAUAUGAAGGAAUAGAGUCCUCAGAUGUAUAACUCCCCUGAAAGUGAACACAAAAUUGCAUGUAGGUGCACAAUGCAUUUUUUGGGCAGAGAGGGCUUUUUAUUUAUUUAUUUGUUUUUAAAUUGUAAGAGGAAUUUAUGAUGAAAAAAGUCCAAGAACCCUGCACUAGUCUAUGCUGCCCUAGGGCUAUCUGGAAUAAUUAAUUUUCAAAUAUUGAGGCACUUAAGAGACAAAGAACUACCUUGUUUCCUUGGACAGUAAAAUGAAAUGGGUAGAAACAAGGAAGGCCUUCUUGAUGAAGACGUUUGCUGAAUAAAAAUACUUCGUAUUUUAUGUGAAUUGAUAAUCAUUUGCAUUUGCCUGUUCCAAAUGCACAAGUUACAAAGUGAAAGCUAGUUUUCUUCACUCCAGCUCUUCUCAGUGUGGCCUUAGUCCUUUGUAAAUGUGGUUUCUCUCUCCAGUAUUGCUGAGCUAUUAG
RNAcentral lists this long non-coding RNA (3213 nucleotides) under Homo sapiens (human). Its description in RNAcentral is "PREDICTED lncRNA (TCONS_00026459)". The record is from RNAcentral. Lineage: Eukaryota; Metazoa; Chordata; Mammalia; Primates; Hominidae.